RNAcentral lists this unclassified non-coding RNA (337 nucleotides) under soil metagenome. RNAcentral describes it as "partial contains 5.8S ribosomal RNA, internal transcribed spacer 2, and large subunit ribosomal RNA". The stretch from base 1 to 120 matches the Rfam family "5.8S ribosomal RNA", at positions 35 to 154 of the family's 154-position model. The record is from RNAcentral.
GAUGAAGAACGUAGCGAAAUGCGAUAAGUAGUGUGAAUUGCAGAAUUCAGUGAAUCAUCGAAUCUUUGAACGCACAUUGCGCCCCAUGGUAUUCCGUGGGGCAUGCCUGUUCGAGCGUCAUUUACCCCCUCAAGCUCCGCUUGGUGUUGGGCGUCUGUCCCGCUUCGCGCGCGGACUCGCCCCAAAGGUAAUGGCAGCGGUCGUGCCAGCUUCUCGCGCAGCACAUUGCGCUUCUCGAGGCACCGGUGGGCCCGCGUCCAUCAAGCUCACCCCCCCAGUUUGACCUCGGAUCAGGUAGGGAUACCCGCUGAACUUAAGCAUAUCAAUAAGCGGAGGA